UCUCAGUUCGGAUUGGAGUCUGNAACCCGACUCCAUGAAGCUGGAUUCGCUAGUAAUCGCGCAUCAGCCACGGCGCGGUGAAUACGUUCCCGGGCCUUGUACACACCGCCCGUCAAGCCAUGGGAGCCGGGGGCGCCUGAAGUCCGGGACCGCGAGGACCGGCCUAGGGCGAAACUGGUAACUGGGGCUAAGUCGUAACAAGGUACC
Molecule: ribosomal RNA, 207 nt
Filed under: uncultured bacterium
Lineage: Bacteria
Description: partial 16S ribosomal RNA
Rfam family: Bacterial small subunit ribosomal RNA
Source: RNAcentral